AUUGAACGCUGGCGGCAUGCCUUACACAUGCAAGUCGAACGGCAGCACGGGUGCUUGCCCCUGGUGGCGAGUGGCGAACGGGGGAGUAAUACAUGGGAACAUGUCCUGUAGUGGGGGGUAGCCCGGCGAAAGACGGAGUAAUACCGCAUACGAACUACGGAAGAAAGCGGGGGACCUUCGGGCCGCGGGCUAUAGGGUGGGCCGAUGCCGGAUUAGCUAGUUGGUGGGGUAAAGGCCUACCAAGGCGACGAUCAGUAGCUGGUCUGAGAGGAGGACCAGCCACACUGGGACUGAGACACGGCCCAGACUCCUACGCGAGGCAGCAGUGGGGAAUUUUCCACAAUGGGCGAAAGCCUGAUCCAGCAAUGCCGCGUGUGUGAAGAAGGCCUUCGGGUUGUAAAGCACUUUUGUCCGGAAAGAACUCCUUUGCCCUAAUCCGGUCGCGUCCUGACGGUACCUGAACAAUAAGCCCCGGCUAACUACGUG
RNAcentral lists this ribosomal RNA (486 nucleotides) under uncultured bacterium. RNAcentral's name for it is "partial 16S ribosomal RNA". It matches the Rfam family "Bacterial small subunit ribosomal RNA", at positions 29 to 507 of the family's 1533-position model. The record is from RNAcentral.